RNAcentral lists this ribosomal RNA (233 nucleotides) under uncultured bacterium. Its description in RNAcentral is "partial 16S ribosomal RNA". It matches the Rfam family "Bacterial small subunit ribosomal RNA", at positions 524 to 755 of the family's 1533-position model. The record is from RNAcentral.
UACGUAGGGGGCAAGCGUUGUCCGGAUUUAUUGGGCGUAAAGAGCGUGUAGGCGGCCUGAAAGGUCAGCUGUGAAAACUCGAGGCUCAACCUCGAGACGUCGGUUGAAACCAUCUGGCUAGAGUCCGGAAGAGGAGUGUGGAAUUCCCGGUGUAGCGGUGAAAUGCGCAGAUAUCGGGAAGAACACCCGUGGCGAAGGCGGCACUCUGGGACGGUACUGGACGCUGAGACGCG